AUUUAUUCUUUAGGCCAACAUUUUAUCGCAGUUUAGGGUGGGAACCAUGAUACAAUGUAAUUUUAAGCUUAGCUUUUAAAUGUAUCUUCAUAAUUCAAAAUAGGUCUUAUUGUUCUGAUAAAUGUGAUAGGCCUCGCAAUGAGGCCAUUAAAACGCACACGUUAACAGCGAGGGCGAGAAGGUGACAUUGUUGCUGAUACCUUGUAACUGGAGAUUCCUUCAAAACGAUUGCCUAUAGUUACCGUGUAGGGCACUGCAAGGUUGGGUGACCAGGGCCAUCUGGAACUGCCUCCUGGAGGAAUUCAGACAUGUGAAGGCUACCUGUGUCCUAUAUAACUUCAUGAGGAUGGACAAGAGGACCAGUUGGGGAUCUGCAGCUCGAAACCAUGUGCCAGAGGAGAAGUCUGCUGCUCAGCAGGAUGUUUCAAGGAUGGGGUCCAACAAUGCAGAGCGAGAGGGUGCUGUUCCCUGGCAACACCAUAGACUACAUUACACUGAUUUCUACUUCUCAGGUUAGGGUGCUGUUUAGGCUCAGGUGUAUAACUGUGGCUCCUUCCAACUUCAAACAGUAGGCAAGAGGGCCAACCAUGGAGAAUAGUAAGACACUUCAUUAUUUCUUUAACUCCGCUAUAUUGUUUGUCCUCGUGUGUCUGCAUGUUUUUCAGCAUAAAGUAUUAUGCAGCCACUUACUGUGGACACACACACAGAUUCCUGUUGAUCACUGUCUCUACCUAACUUCUUUUCUCAAUAACAGUCUCUCUCCUUCACUUCAUCCCUAUCUCCCCUUCUCCCUAAACCCUAUAAGUUAUAUCAGCUGUGUGUAACUUGGCUAGUUAAAUCAAAAAUAAAAAUAUUAGCUGUGUCGGUGAACCCCUCCCGCAUCUGAACUGGCAACAUAGAGGGCACAGCGUGAUCAGAGGUGAGGUCACUUGGUCGGGUUAACAGGAAGUAUUAUUAGAGAUGCUUUACAUUGAAAUAUAAGUAGAGAUGCAGUAGUCCCAGAGUUAAUGAUCCAAGGUCAGUUUUGCAUUUCACCUGAUGAUUAUGAUGACUUACAGUGUUAGAAUACUUUUUUUUAAAGCAUGGCUUAAACAUGCUAUCUCUCUCCAUCUGUCUCUCGUCUGCAGGUAUGUUUUGAUGUGAGAGAGGAUGCCAAUCGCCAGUCCCGUCAUUGCCACCUCACCCACUCUUAAGAUAACCUUUGGGCCGACUGGGAGCCCAAGGCUGGUUAGGAGACACAACUAGAGAAACUAUUUUGUAAUUGUGAUGAACUGAGAUAAUAUUAGGGUAACACUGUGAUUCAUUAAUCAUAUGCUGUCUUCCCUGCUCUGUUCUUACCUCUUUCCCUUUCUUUUUAUCUCUCUCAUCGCCACCUCUUUCUUCCUGUUUUUAUAAUGCAC
Molecule: long non-coding RNA, 1400 nt
Organism: Oncorhynchus tshawytscha (Chinook salmon)
Lineage: Eukaryota; Metazoa; Chordata; Actinopteri; Salmoniformes; Salmonidae
Source: Ensembl